CUGCGAUAACGGCAAACUUAUUGAAAGGUAAGGACGCAGAGCCACGGGUCUAAGGUUUUAUGACUAUGAUCGCCGGGUUACCGAA
Molecule: non-coding RNA, 85 nt
Filed under: Virgibacillus salinus
Lineage: Bacteria; Bacillati; Bacillota; Bacilli; Caryophanales; Bacillaceae
Also listed under: 1 other name
Description: c-di-GMP-I riboswitch aptamer
Rfam family: c-di-GMP-I riboswitch aptamer
About the family: GEMM was predicted in a large-scale screen for bacterial structured RNA regulatory elements. Genes associated with GEMM are involved in a diverse array of functions, including chemotaxis regulation, signal transduction, secretion and chitin.
Source: Rfam by way of RNAcentral